UCUUCAAUUCAUGAAGAAAUGCACAGAGCUCAUGUGGAUGUUUACGGCAUAGAGGCAGAAGACACAUGGUUACAAGUUGUAAGAAAUCUAAUAAGGACCUUUUUUUAGUAACAACAGCCAGUUUUUCAAAUGCGUAGUAACAAGUUUCACAAAGAUGCAAUCACACCAAGUGUGCUUGGACAGAUGAAAUACCAAGAUACAUUCUCACCAUGGUGACCUACAAGAGAACUGUCAUAACAGAGGCGGCUGUUGCCACUACAGCUUCCAGAACUCCUGCUGUUGAUGCUGCUACAUAAGGAAAAUCUGCUGCCCUUUUCUGCAGUUAUUGGCUGAGCUCUGUCUGAAGAUCAGAUUGCAGCUUGAGGGCAAUGUUCACUCCUUACUGCACAUCAGUAGCAAAGGGAGCAUAAGAGCAAUCAAGAUGCAUGCGAGGCUGAGGAACAGAGCAUGAGAGGGACUACUUUUCUGAGGCUUUUAGUCUGCAAAACAAAUAUGCAAGAAGAAGAAGCCAGUCUCUCUGGAACAAGGUGUCAGAAUUAUAGGACUUUGAUAUUUUAAAAGCAACAUUUUUAGAAAUGGAAGGGACCCCAAAGGAGAUCUGACUAACCUGGCCAGUACCAGAUGCUAUUAAAUCCCUUCCCACACCCUGGGGCGGCAAGUGUAUGGGCCCGUGGUGCCCGGGCUCCAGGAAUACUCGGGGCCCGGGGGCCCAGCUACACCAAUUUUCUGAGCCGGGUCUCUCCCCGGGUCCUGCCUGCUGACCCUGCGUGCUGCCCCCGCAUGCCUCCCUCAGCCCCUGCCUGCCAACCCUGUGUGCCUCCCCCAUAGGGUGACCAGACAGCAAGUGUGAAAAAUCAGGACGGGGGUGGGGGAUAAUAGGAUCCUAUAUAAGAAAAAGACCCAAAAAUCGGGACUGUCCCUAUAAAAUCGGGACAUCUGGUCACCCUACUCCCCCAGGCCCCGGAGCGUCCCUGCCUCAAGUGGGCAGCUGCCCUGCAGCUCUGCGCUCCCUUGCCACCGCUGCUGCCUACAACACAAGAGUAGCGCCACCGGCUGGCUGAGGCGGCUGCUGCACCUGCGGAGGGAGGAGGGAAGGAGGCACACACAUGACUGGCAGCCCUCCCCUCCCCCGCACCCACCGGGAGGUGAUGCCGAAGGGGCUUCCAGCAGAUGGGGUCUGGACCUUACCUGAGCAGCUGCUGGGGCUGGGGUGAGUGUCUGACAAUGUGAUCCGCAUCCCCCCGCUGCCUGCAGCCACCACUCCUGCCCCACGCUGGGCAAGGGGCAGCCCCAUCCCCUGUGAGGCUACGAUGAGGGGCAGCAGGCUGCAGCAGGGGAGGGGGCCACAUGUAAUGGCAACCCUCCCUCCCCCAGCACCCACUACGGGGGAGGUGAGAGGGCUUCCUGGACCUGAAACGGGCUGGCCCCUAGCAGCACAUGCAGUGAGGGUGCUGGGUGAGUGUGCUGCCAGGGAGGGGGAGGGCUUGAGGACUGUGGAAUCCUCCUGUCUGGCCUCAGCCCCAAGGCAGCCUGCCUGCACCCCAAACUCCUCAUUCCCAGCCCCGCCCCACACUAGAGCCUGCACCCCCAGCCAGAGCCCUCACCCCCCACAGCCCAACCCUCUGCCCCACUCUGAGCCCCCUCCUGCACCGUGAACCCCGCAUCCCUGCCCCCACCCCGCAGCCAUCACCCCCACACCCCAACCCUGUGCCCUAGUCCUCAGCCCCCUCCCCUCACACCUCAAACCCCUCAUCCCCAGCCCCACCCCAGAGCCCGCACUCCCAGUCAGAAACUGUUUAAUAGGGAAACUGUUAAACGCUUAUUGUUUCUAGUCCAUUUUUACAUUAUUUUAAAAUAUAUAUACUGGCUUACAAGGCAGGUGUGUGUGUGGGGGGGGAGCUUGGACCCUUUCUGGGUACCACCAAAAAUUAUACAAACCUGCCUCCCCUGCCCACACCCAAUAAUGAAACAAUAGUGAUCUGGUGAAAAAUAUAGCAGGAAAUAUAGUGUGAAAAGGGGUGGUGUGGAUGGAAAGUAAUUAAAAAGACUUUGGGAUUCUAUCUUUCUAAAAGAAAAAUAAAGCAAUUUAUAUCUAAGUUACCAAGAAGUCAAUGAAGCAGAAACCCACCAUGAACUAGCCAGCACUUUUAGAUUCGAGAUGGGAGAGAGAUCAAAGGACAGAAACAUAGAUGAAUCACCGUGGGAUAGGAGUAUGAUCCAUAACUGACCACAAGAGCAAGAAAAAUGAAGCAUGUAAUCCAGAACUAUAAAAGCACCACCAAACUUGGCAUACUAAAGAGAGAGGCCACAGUUUCCCAGAGAAGCUGCCAGCCUGGAGAAGGAGUGGGCAGCAUGAGGGUAGGUAAGAACUGUUUUCUCCAAAGAUAUGAACAGUGUAGCAGAACAGUUUCUGGAGCCCCCUACUGACAUGAUUAAGUGCUUGAUCCUACUCCUGUUGGGAGAAGGAUCAUUGUUUAGACCUGAUUUUCUGUUGCCUGUGACUUGGGUAGUUAUAUACCACAAGAGGUUAAAAAGCAAAUGGCUCCAGAACAAGUCCAGGCAACACAGAAGUCUAGACCUGUUCAUUUUAUACACUCCUUUCCCCCUCACCUCUUUUGAAUAAAUGCUUGUAGAUUCCUUACAAAAAAUAAAUAAAGUACCUUGAAAGUGGA
This is a long non-coding RNA of Malaclemys terrapin pileata, 2672 nucleotides long. RefSeq lists it as uncharacterized. The transcript has 3 exons. The record is from RefSeq and is a predicted model, not a curated record. Lineage: Eukaryota; Metazoa; Chordata; Testudines; Emydidae.